Molecule: ribosomal RNA, 492 nt
Filed under: uncultured bacterium
Lineage: Bacteria
Description: partial 16S ribosomal RNA
Rfam family: Bacterial small subunit ribosomal RNA
Source: RNAcentral
AGUGAACGCUGGCGGUAGGCCUAACACAUGCAAGUCGAACGGCAGCACAGUAAGAGCUUGCUCUUACGGGUGGCGAGUGGCGGACGGGUGAGGAAUACAUCGGAAUCUACUUUUUCGUGGGGGAUAACGUAGGGAAACUUACGCUAAUACCGCAUACGACCUACGGGUGAAAGCAGGGGAUCUUCGGACCUUGCGCGAUUGAAUGAGCCGAUGUCGGAUUAGCUAGUUGGCGGGGUAAAGGCCCACCAAGGCGACGAUCCGUAGCUGGUCUGAGAGGAUGAUCAGCCACACUGGAACUGAGACACGGUCCAGACUCCUACACGAGGCAGCAGUGGGGAAUAUUGGACAAUGGGCGCAAGCCUGAUCCAGCCAUACCGCGUGGGUGAAGAAGGCCUUCGGGUUGUAAAGCCCUUUUGUUGGGAAAGAAAAGCAGCAGGUUAAUACCCCGCUGUUCUGACGGUACCCAAAGAAUAAGCACCGGCUAACUUCGUG